This 545-nucleotide long non-coding RNA is filed under the name Harpegnathos saltator (Jerdon's jumping ant). RNAcentral describes it as "uncharacterized LOC112589973". Lineage: Eukaryota; Metazoa; Arthropoda; Insecta; Hymenoptera; Formicidae. The record is from RNAcentral.
CUGGACAAGCAUAGAACAUGCAAUGUCUAGAUUUGUUUGGUUUACUUCGGAUCAGCGCUGUUCUUGUCCAAAUCCUUAUUAUUUGAAUCUGUUUCCUUUGGAGAUUUUAUUCUCGGGACCGAAGAUUUAGAUGGAUCUGUUUUGAAAACAGCCAGGUCGAGCGUGCCUGGAUUAUAAUAACUUUUCAACAGACGUCUAAAUUGAAUCCGCCGUCCGGCUCUUCUUGUUCUUUCCGGCAUGAGAGAUUUUUAGCACAACACUCUUAAAGUAAGGAAGAGAAGAACUGUGCUCGUGGUUCAAGCACUGCGUUCUGGGAAAAAGGGAGGAAUGGUGCUUGUGGUUCAAGCACAACACUCUUAAGGUAAAGAAAAGAAGAACGGUGCUCGUGGUUCAAGCACGGCGUUCUGGAAAAAAGAAUGAAAAUGAUAAGAGGGAAGAGAGGCUCAAGACCCCUUGGCAAUCGGCUAACAAGAGGCUCAGCGAAAGAUUGUCUGAUGGCUAAUUGGAGGCUAACAAGAGACAGCUUAGAGACUGACGAGAGACUG